Molecule: ribosomal RNA, 141 nt
Filed under: Gossypium arboreum
Lineage: Eukaryota; Viridiplantae; Streptophyta; Magnoliopsida; Malvales; Malvaceae
Description: 5.8S ribosomal RNA
Rfam family: 5.8S ribosomal RNA
About the family: 5.8S ribosomal RNA (5.8S rRNA) is a component of the large subunit of the eukaryotic ribosome. It is transcribed by RNA polymerase I as part of the 45S precursor that also contains 18S and 28S rRNA.
Source: Rfam by way of RNAcentral
AUAUCUCGGCUCUCGCAUCGAUGAAGAACGUAGCGAAAUGCGAUACUUAGUGUGAAUUGCAGAAUCCCGUGAACUGUCGAGUCUUUGAACGCAAGUUGUGCCCCAAUCCAUUAGGCCGAGGGCACGUUUGCCUGGGUGUCA